Molecule: ribosomal RNA, 252 nt
Filed under: uncultured bacterium
Lineage: Bacteria
Description: partial 16S ribosomal RNA
Rfam family: Bacterial small subunit ribosomal RNA
Source: RNAcentral
CACGUAGGCACCAAGCGUUGUCCGGAUUAUUGGGCGUAAAGAGCUCGUAGGCGGUUCAGUAAGUCGGGUGUGAAACUCAGGGCUCAACCCUGAGCGGCCACCCGAUACUGCUGUGACUUGAGUCUGGGUAGGGGAGUGGGGAAUUCCUGGUGUAGCGGUGAAAUGCGCAGAUAUCAGGAGGAACACCGGUGGCGAAGGCGCCACUCUGGGCCACGACUGACGCUGAGGAGCGAAGCAUGGGUAGCAAACAGG